RNAcentral lists this ribosomal RNA (793 nucleotides) under uncultured bacterium. RNAcentral's name for it is "bacterial SSU rRNA". It matches the Rfam family "Bacterial small subunit ribosomal RNA", at positions 8 to 796 of the family's 1533-position model. The record is from RNAcentral.
AGAGUUUGAUCAUGGCUCAGAUUGAACGCUGGCGGCAGGCCUAACACAUGCAAGUCGAGCGGUAGAGAGAAGCUUGCUUCUCUUGAGAGCGGCGGACGGGUGAGUAAUGCCUAGGAAUCUGCCUGGUAGUGGGGGAUAACGUCCGGAAACGGACGCUAAUACCGCAUACGUCCUACGGGAGAAAGCAGGGGACCUUCGGGCCUUGCGCUAUCAGAUGAGCCUAGGUCGGAUUAGCUAGUUGGUGGGGUAACGGCUCACCAAGGCGACGAUCCGUAACUGGUCUGAGAGGAUGAUCAGUCACACUGGAACUGAGACACGGUCCAGACUCCUACGGGAGGCAGCAGUGGGGAAUAUUGGACAAUGGGCGAAAGCCUGAUCCGGCCACGCCGCGUGUGUGAAGAAGGUCUUCGGAUUGUAAAGCACUUUAAGUUGGGAGGAAGGGCAGUAAAUUAAUACUUUGCUGUUUUGACGUUACCGACAGAAUAAGCACCGGCUAACUCUGUGCCAGCAGCCGCGGUAAUACAGAGGGUGCAAGCGUUAAUCGGAAUUACUGGGCGUAAAGCGCGCGUAGGUGGUUCGUUAAGUUGGAUGUGAAAUCCCCGGGCUCAACCUGGGAACUGCAUUCAAAACUGACGAGCUAGAGUAUGGUAGAGGGUGGUGGAAUUUCCUGUGUAGCGGUGAAAUGCGUAGAUAUAGGAAGGAACACCAGUGGCGAAGGCGACCACCUGGACUGAUACUGACACUGAGGUGCGAAAGCGUGGGGAGCAAACAGGAUUAGAUACCCCGGUAGUCC